Molecule: ribosomal RNA, 484 nt
Filed under: uncultured bacterium
Lineage: Bacteria
Description: partial 16S ribosomal RNA
Rfam family: Bacterial small subunit ribosomal RNA
Source: RNAcentral
AUUGAACGCUGGCGGCAGGCCUAACACAUGCAAGUCGAGCGGAUGAAGGGAGCUUGCUCCUGGAUUCAGCGGCGGACGGGUGAGUAAUGCCUAGGAAUCUGCCUGGUAGUGGGGGAUAACGUCCGGAAACGGGCGCUAAUACCGCAUACGUCCUGAGGGAGAAAGUGGGGGAUCUUCGGACCUCACGCUAUCAGAUGAGCCUAGGUCGGAUUAGCUAGUUGGUGGGGUAAAGGCCUACCAAGGCGACGAUCCGUAACUGGUCUGAGAGGAUGAUCAGUCACACUGGAACUGAGACGCGGUCCAGACUCCUACGGGAGGCAGCAGUGGGGAAUAUUGGACAAUGGGCGAAAGCCUGAUCCAGCCCUGCCGCGUGUGUGAAGAAGGUCUUCGGAUUGUAAAGCACUUUAAGUUGGGAGGAAGGGCAGUAAGUUAAUACCUUGCUGUUUUGACGUUACCAACAGAAUAAGCACCGGCUAACUUCGUG